RNAcentral lists this ribosomal RNA (794 nucleotides) under uncultured bacterium. RNAcentral's name for it is "bacterial SSU rRNA". It matches the Rfam family "Bacterial small subunit ribosomal RNA", at positions 8 to 825 of the family's 1533-position model. The record is from RNAcentral.
AGAGUUUGAUCCUGGCUCAGGAUAAACGCUGGCGGCGUGCUUUAAGCAUGCAAGUCGCACGGAUACUCGCAAGAGUGUGAGUGGCAGACGGCUGAGGAAGACGGAAGGAACCUGCCCGACAGAGGGGGAUAACUCCGCGAAAGCGGGGCUAAGACCGCGUACGCUCGUGCUGGGGAGAACGGCAUGAGGAAAGCCGCAAGGCGCUGACGGAGGGGCUUCCGGCCCAUCAGGUAGUUGGUGAGGUAAAGGCCCACCAAGCCGAUGACGGGUCGCUGGUCUAAGAGGAUGAUCAGCCAGACUGGGACUGAGACACGGCCCAGACUCCUACGGGAGGCAGCAGCUAGGAAUCUUGCGCAAUGGGCGAAAGCCUGACGCAGCGACGCCGCGUGGGGGACGACGGUCUUCGGAUUGUAAACCCCUUUUGGGUGGGAAGAGAGUGGACGGUACCACCCGAAGAAGCCCCGGCUAACUACGUGCCAGCAGCCGCGGUAAUACGUAGGGGGCGAGCGUUGUCCGGAUUUACUGGGCGUAAAGAGCGCGUAGACGGUUGGGUAGGUUGGUUGUGAAAGGUGCGGGCUUAACCCGCAUAGGUCAACCAAAACCGUCCGACUCGGAGGACAGUAGAGGAAGGUGGAAUUCCGGGUGUAGUGGUGAAAUGCGUAGAGAUCCGGAGGAACACCGGCGGCGAAGGCGGCCUUCUGGGCUGGCCCUGACGCUGAGGCGCGAAAGCGUGGGGAGCGAACUGAAUUAGAUACUCAGGUAGUCCACGCCCUCAUCAUGGACACUAGGUGUGG